CAUAACCCAAUGAUUAUAAAGAAUGUGGUUUCCACAAAAGUAGAUAAAAAUAGGCAAGAAUGAAAACAAGAACUACAAAAUUUACUUUCUCUAACUCUAAUGAACUCAGAGGCUCCUUAAGAGUAGCAUGGAUGUGAUAAAUUGUCUCGUAGCCUGCAACAACAAGUUGGAAGCAACAACAAGUUGGAAGCAACAACACCCAUGCCCCCUAUAAUUUAUCAUUUUCAUAAAUUUCCCCAAUAUUUCUAAUUUUUUUCUAAACCAACCCCUAUAAUAAAUAAAUUAAUACUAGCUCCCCCCACCACCUCUAAAAUUCUGCUACUACCGACACAUAUUUUCCACUACGACUCGUACACGUGUCAAUUUUAAAGUACUACCAUCGUUAUCA
This 388-nucleotide long non-coding RNA is filed under the name Arabidopsis lyrata. RNAcentral's name for it is "long non-coding RNA (ALYR_LNC001064)". The record is from RNAcentral. Lineage: Eukaryota; Viridiplantae; Streptophyta; Magnoliopsida; Brassicales; Brassicaceae.